UCGCCCUUAGAGUUUGAUCCUGGCUCAGAUUGAACGCUGGCGGCAUGCCUUACACAUGCAAGUCGAACGGUAACAGGUCUUCGGAUGCUGACGAGUGGCGAACGGGUGAGUAAUACAUCGGAACGUGCCCAGACGUGGGGGAUAACGAGGCGAAAGCUUUGCUAAUACCGCAUACGAUCUAAGGAUGAAAGCAGGGGGCCGCAAGGCCUUGCGCGUUUGGAGCGGCCGAUGGCAGAUUAGGUAGUUGGUGGGAUAAAAGCUUACCAAGCCGACGAUCUGUAGCUGGUCUGAGAGGACGACCAGCCACACUGGGACUGAGACACGGCCCAGACUCCUACGGGAGGCAGCAGUGGGGAAUUUUGGACAAUGGGCGAAAGCCUGAUCCAGCAAUGCCGCGUGCAGGAUGAAGGCCUUCGGGUUGUAAACUGCUUUUGUACGGAACGAAAAGGCUCUGGCUAAUACCUGGAGCACAUGACGGUACCGUAAGAAUAAGCACCGGCUAACUACGUGCCAGCAGCCGCGGUAAUACGUAGGGUGCGAGCGUUAAUCGGAAUUACUGGGCGUAAAGCGUGCGC
This 575-nucleotide ribosomal RNA is filed under the name uncultured Comamonadaceae bacterium. RNAcentral describes it as "bacterial SSU rRNA". It matches the Rfam family "Bacterial small subunit ribosomal RNA", at positions 1 to 572 of the family's 1533-position model. The record is from RNAcentral. Lineage: Bacteria; Pseudomonadati; Pseudomonadota; Betaproteobacteria; Burkholderiales; Comamonadaceae.